AGAGUCUGAGAGAACAGCGUCCCUCUGUUUCGGCAGAUUCCUAGCGGCACCAUAAUGGGAGUCAUGUGGAUCCACUCUUUGCAACAACAGACUGGAGAAAAAAACCCAUCACACCCGUCCUUUAAGAACGUCUCCAGGUUGGUAAGGAGACGUGUUCGCUGACCUAUGACGAACGUCCUCUCGAGCGUGUCAACCAUUAGCCCCUGAGAGGAGGGUACACUUCGCAUCACACCACAACAGGACUCUAUUUAAGUUGAAGUCAGAUGUGGGCCAAGCAUUUCCCAUCACAGCCAUGGAGCCAUUUGUUGCAGCUUAACCUUCUGCAUGGAAAGUGUGAGGCGGAUUAGAACAUGUCCAAACACGCAUCUCUUCAGAGGAGCAAUGAGGCGGUCCAGGGUCUCGCUAUCACCUCCUCUAAAACAUCUGCGUCCUUUGUCACGAUCAGCGUCACAAUAUGGUUUAUUGUGCUUCAGAUCUGCCAGGGUCAACUGAGAGCACAGCUCGGGACAACCCCCAACAUUAAACACAUUGUGGUGGGAAGGUGUUACACCUACAUCACACUAGUUAACCCCAGCUUAAGGUAACGCACUGUGCAGCCUUUAUUUAUCAUGUCAUAGCAUGUCCAACCUUCAAAUCUGAUGCACAUUUGAUGCAUUUAAACAAGAAUUCAUUUGAACUGAG
Molecule: long non-coding RNA, 681 nt
Organism: Amphiprion ocellaris (clown anemonefish)
Lineage: Eukaryota; Metazoa; Chordata; Actinopteri; Pomacentridae
Source: Ensembl